Molecule: long non-coding RNA, 613 nt
Organism: Myotis davidii
Lineage: Eukaryota; Metazoa; Chordata; Mammalia; Chiroptera; Vespertilionidae
Exons: 6
Source: RefSeq, a predicted model, not a curated record
UGGGGGGCGGUGGAGCCAGCUCGUGGUGCCUGAGGCUACAAGCCCAAGUAUCUUCAACUCAAGAAGAAGUUAGAAGAUGAGUUCCCCGGACGCCUGGACAUCUGCGGCGAGGGGACUCCCCAGGUUACCGGGUUCUUUGAAGUCAUGGUAGCAGGGAAGUUGGUUCACUCUAAGAAGGGAGGCGAUGGCUUCGUGGACACAGAGAGCAAGUUUCUGAAGCUGGUGGCCGCCAUCAAAGCCGUCUUGGCUCAGGCCGGAGUGCCCUGAAGGCGGAGCCCGUGGCCUUGGCCCAGCCUCUCGGCAGACGCUUCAUGAUGGGAUGGACUGAAAUGUCUCCAGACGCCGGUCUUUUCCUGAUGUUCUGCGGCUGCCGGGCAGACAGCGCCCUGGUCUGUGCGUGUGUGUCUUUCCCCGGAAUCUGGCCUUGCACACUGGCCCUGUACCCCCCUUUCGCCGUCCCCCUGCCUACACCCCGAUGUCUUCCUGUCCCCCCUCUGGUGUUUGGGCUGGUCCAGCUCCAGGUUUCUUUCCCAAGGAGGAGCCAAGAGGGGGUCCGGUUUCAGCCGUGUUUGCAACAUUGACAGUUCAAUAAAUACUGAAUGAGUUUAGCAGA